This 1445-nucleotide ribosomal RNA is filed under the name metagenome. RNAcentral's name for it is "bacterial SSU rRNA". It matches the Rfam family "Bacterial small subunit ribosomal RNA". The record is from RNAcentral.
GAGUUUGAUCCUGGCUCAGAGCGAACGCUGGCGGCAGGCUUAACACAUGCAAGUCGAACGGGCGUAGCAAUACGUCAGUGGCAGACGGGUGAGUAACGCGUGGGAACGUACCUUUCGGUUCGGAACAACUGAGGGAAACUUCAGCUAAUACCGGAUAAGCCCUUACGGGGAAAGAUUUAUCGCCGAAAGAUCGGCCCGCGUCUGAUUAGCUAGUUGGUGAGGUAAGAGCUCACCAAGGCGACGAUCAGUAGCUGGUCUGAGAGGAUGAUCAGCCACAUUGGGACUGAGACACGGCCCAAACUCCUACGGGAGGCAGCAGUGGGGAAUAUUGGACAAUGGGCGCAAGCCUGAUCCAGCCAUGCCGCGUGAGUGAUGAAGGCCCUAGGGUUGUAAAGCUCUUUUGUGCGGGAAGAUAAUGACGGUACCGCAAGAAUAAGCCCCGGCUAACUUCGUGCCAGCAGCCGCGGUAAUACGAAGGGGGCUAGCGUUGCUCGGAAUCACUGGGCGUAAAGGGUGCGUAGGCGGGUCUUUAAGUCAGGGGUGAAAUCCUGGAGCUCAACUCCAGAACUGCCUUUGAUACUGAGGAUCUUGAGUUCGGGAGAGGUGAGUGGAACUGCGAGUGUAGAGGUGAAAUUCGUAGAUAUUCGCAAGAACACCAGUGGCGAAGGCGGCUCACUGGCCCGAUACUGACGCUGAGGCACGAAAGCGUGGGGAGCAAACAGGAUUAGAUAUCCUGGUAGUCCACGCCGUAAACGAUGAAUGCCAGCCGUUGGGGAGUUUACUCUUCAGUGGCGCAGCUAACGCUUUAAGCAUUCCGCCUGGGGAGUACGGUCGCAAGAUUAAAACUCAAAGGAAUUGACGGGGGCCCGCACAAGCGGUGGAGCAUGUGGUUUAAUUCGACGCAACGCGCAGAACCUUACCAGCCCUUGACAUGUCUAUGACCGGUACCAGAGAUGGAACCUUCCCUUCGGGGCAUAGAGCACAGGUGCUGCAUGGCUGUCGUCAGCUCGUGUCGUGAGAUGUUGGGUUAAGUCCCGCAACGAGCGCAACCCCCGUCCUUAGUUGCUACCAUUUAGUUGAGCACUCUAAGGAGACUGCCGGUGAUAAGCCGCGAGGAAGGUGGGGAUGACGUCAAGUCCUCAUGGCCCUUACGGGCUGGGCUACACACGUGCUACAAUGGCGGUGACAAUGGGACGCUAAGGAGCAAUCCUCCGCAAAUCUCAAAAAGCCGUCUCAGUUCGGAUUGGGCUCUGCAACUCGAGCCCAUGAAGUUGGAAUCGCUAGUAAUCGUGGAUCAGCAUGCCACGGUGAAUACGUUCCCGGGCCUUGUACACACCGCCCGUCACACCAUGGGAGUUGGUUUUACCUGAAGGUAGUGCGCUAACCCGCAAGGGGGGCAGCUAACCACGGUAGGGUCAGCGACUGGGGUGAAGUCGUAACAAGGU